This 253-nucleotide ribosomal RNA is filed under the name uncultured bacterium. Its description in RNAcentral is "partial 16S ribosomal RNA". It matches the Rfam family "Bacterial small subunit ribosomal RNA", at positions 524 to 776 of the family's 1533-position model. The record is from RNAcentral.
UACGUAGGUGGCUAGCGUUGUCCGGAUUUACUGGGCUUAAAGCGCGCGCAGGCGGUCGUUCAAGUCGAGUGUGAAAGCCCCCGGCUCAACUGGGGAGGGUCACUCGAUACUGAUCGACUUGAAGGCAGAAGAGGGAAGCGGAAUUCCCGGUGUAGAGGUGAAAUUCGUAGAUAUCGGGAGGAACACCAGUGGCGAAGGCGGCGAUCUGGGCUGAUACUGACGCUGAGGUGCGAAAGCGUGGGGAGCAAACAGG